Molecule: ribosomal RNA, 253 nt
Filed under: uncultured prokaryote
Description: partial 16S ribosomal RNA
Rfam family: Bacterial small subunit ribosomal RNA
Source: RNAcentral
UACGGGGGGGGCUAGCGUUGUUCGGAAUUACUGGGCGUAAAGCGCACGUAGGCGGCUUUGUAAGUUAGAGGUGAAAGCCCGGAGCUCAACUCCGGAAUUGCCUUUAAGACUGCAUCGCUAGAAUUGUGGAGAGGUAAGUGGAAUUCCGAGUGUAGAGGUGAAAUUCGUAGAUAUUAGGAAGAACACCAGUGGCGAAGGCGGCUCACUGGAUCGGUACUGACGCUGAGGUGCGAAAGCGUGGGGAGCAAACAGG